Pan troglodytes (chimpanzee) is the source of this 1035-nucleotide long non-coding RNA. RefSeq lists it as uncharacterized. NCBI's taxonomy places the organism in Eukaryota, Metazoa, Chordata, Mammalia, Primates, Hominidae. The record is from RefSeq and is a predicted model, not a curated record. The transcript has 5 exons.
GGAUGUCAUGGGAAUUCUGCUUCUUGGCAAUUUUCAUGGAUUGUAAAAUUAGCUUACCAACUUGCAUAAAAACUUCUGUAUGUUAUUGAAUAUCAUCAGUUUUAGCAAGCAUUCUUGUCUCAUUCCUGAUUUUAGAGGAAAUACUUGAACUUCUCACUCGAAAGGAACUAAAAUAAUUCUGAGUACUAGCAAGGACUAAGAUGAAGUUCAAUGUCAUGACUGCAAAGUGAAAUGAUCAGAAGUUUCAUGGCCAUGAGUACUGCUGCCUGGCCCGGGCAUGAGAAAUGAGUUUGCUCUAGACUGCAGAUUGUGAAGACGAGCUUUGCAAAAAUCUAACAUCUAGUGCAUUCUGACUAUGGAGAGGACAUAAUUGAUACCUUGAGAUCUCCUGAACAUACUGACAUUUGGUGGUCAUUGCUUCCUCUCUGAACACCUUCCUUAAUGUGAGAAGGAACUUGGAGCCUUUCUUGACUACUGUGAUGUGCUGGCUCCCCAACAGAUACACCUGCAUCCUAAUCCCUAGAAACUGUGAAUGUGACCUUAUUUACAAAAAGAAUCUUUGCAGAUGUAAUUAAGUAUUUUAAGAUGAGAUCAUCCAGGAUUACCACUCAGCCCUAAAUCCAUUGACCAAGUGUCCUUAUAUGGGACAGAAAAGGAGAAAAAGGAUAAAACAGAAGGAAGUAAACAAAGCUCUCUGAUCACAGAGACAGAGAUUGGUGAUAUGCAACCACCAGCCAAGGGACACAUGGAACCACCAGAAGCCAGAAGAGCCAAGGAAAAAUUUUCCUCUGGAACAUUUAAAGGGAGCAUAGCCCUCUGAUGCUUUGAUUUAGGAUUUCUGACCUCUAGAACAAUGAAAGAAUAAAUUUGUGUGUUGGUUGGUUUAAGCCACCAAGUUUAUGGUUAUUUUUUACAGCAGCUCUAGAAAACUAAUACGACUGCCUUAUCUAAAAUAACACAUUCUGUUUUCUCACCUGCUUUAUUUUUCUUCAUAGUACCUGUCGCUACCUAAUACUAUUAUUAUUAUUUUGUUUG